This is a long non-coding RNA of Passer domesticus (house sparrow), 2361 nucleotides long. RefSeq lists it as uncharacterized. The transcript has 3 exons. Lineage: Eukaryota; Metazoa; Chordata; Aves; Passeriformes; Passeridae. The record is from RefSeq and is a predicted model, not a curated record.
GAGGCUCAGCUGCCUUUCCUUGGACCUAGGCAGGCUGGAGAAGGAUCUCUAAAACCGGGCACGUGGAUUUCAGAGCUGCUCCUGCCAGUCCCUGGUAGCCCAGCCUCUCUGGCAGUGAUGUCACUGGUGGCUUUUGCACAGGCAGGCACCUCAUGCACUGCUGGGGGGGGCAUUGCUCCCCUUUCAGACAGGACUUUGUGCUUAGAAACCCAUCUGCUGCUAAAACAUGCACAUACACAGAGCAUGGGAGGGGAUAUUGCUGUGUGAAACCAAAGAAGGGCCCUUUGUGUGAAUCCAUGGGAUACAAACUGAGAAAAUGUUUCCCUGGACAUCACUGAGAACACAACUGCUCUGGAGAACAGCUCUUUUGUUCAUCCAAGAUCAACAGAGAAGAGGCUGGCAGAGUCCGGGGAGCUGUGUGCCAAACCUGUGGGAAGAAUUGGAGCAAGCAGGCUCAGAGCAGCUGAAAUGAAAUAAAUUUUUUGUUGGAAAAAUUUUAUCCCAUGAACAGUGUUAAACAGUUUGCAGCAUUCAUUUCUGAAAUUUAAAAACAUGAAGGGAGAGGUCAAGUGCUUGCUUGGACUAAUAGCAAAACCUUUUCAAAGUAGAGUUAACAGCCAGCAGUUGAAAACAAAUGAGAUGAUUUCCUUUUGUGUUGGCUGAUGAUGGGAAGUGCCCCUGUGCUGCAGCUGUGGCAGUGCUGUGAUGGUGGGGUUUGUCACAGGAAGGCUGCCUUCAAAGCAAGGGCAAGUGUCCAUGCCAGCUGUCUGAAACAGCAGCACUCCACUAAAUCCCAUCCAGGAAAGGUGAACUUGAACUGAGAGAUUAAAGGAAAGGGGAAUUAUAGGAAAUGGGACUGGGAGAGUUUGGCUUGUUUAGUCUGGCAAAUCACAGACCAAGAGAUGAGCUGAUUGCUGUCUAAAAAUAUCAUAUGGGAAUACAGAGCAGUGAUAGGGGAAUGCAUUGGCUAGGAGCAAAACAUAGAUUAACCAUUAAUUAAUCUAGCCUGGAAACAAGACAGUAUUUAGCCAUUAAAGUAAGAAGAUUUGGGAACAGAGCAAUGUUAAUGCCAGAAUACCAGAGAGAAAAAUACUGCCAUUUUAAAAUAAAGAUACAUCUGGAAGCAUGUGUGAAAGAGAUGAUACUGAAUUCAUGGUGCCCCUGAUGCAGGGAAUGAUUGGCAUUUGACUCUAUUGAUUCAGAAGGUUGAACAAUUGUUUUAUUAAAACUAUACUAUAUUACAUACUAAAGAAAUACUAAAGAAUAUUAAAGAAAUACUAAAGAAUAUUAAAGAAAAAUCUGUGACUGUCUGAGACAGCCAGGACACAGCUUUGACCCAACUGGCCAAGGAAACAAAACAAUCCUCAGCAGAAUCCAACUGACAAAUCUCUUCAGGAAAAACCCUGGGAGAGAACGUCUCUCUCUGUUCAGAGAAUGUGAAUACCACAAGAUGAUGGGAUGUCUCUGUUGUCAUGGCCUGGGACUCAGCGCCCCAUCCAGUCCCUGUCAGCACAGUGAUCCUGUGCUCCCACACAGCCAUCAUCCCUGAGGAAAUGUGCACUGGCUGAAGGGCUGCUCAUCUCAGAUGCCUUCUGCUUAAUCAGUGACCUGUGACCAGAUCCUUCUUUGAACCAGAAGGCAAAGAGGGUUUGUAGAGAAAGGAAGUUCUUCCAAAGCCUUGGUGUGCCUGUGUUGUAAAUGGGCAAUUCCCAGAAAGGGCCAGAAUUUAGGGAGGUGCAAAGAGUCACUGGAUGUUUCAAUGCAGAGUUAAUCUACUUAAUAAAAAGUCUUGUAGGGGGUAUAAAUUCCAAUGCUCAAGCGUAUAGGUGAAACUAUGCUAAACUGGGAUUAGGCUGAAGCCUUGGGUAGAAGUGGUAGAGUUACAUUAUCCCUUGUUUAGCUCUUGUGAGGCUUAGUACAUCUUCAGUGAAGCACCUGAUCCUGGGCAUUGGCAGAAAGAAGUUUUUGGAUUAGAUUUCUUGAGCAGCAUCAAAAUCCCUAGGGUCCUGUUAUUUCCAACUCUUUCAGUCUCUAGCAACCUGGAAGUUAUCCAGGGCAGGAAUUUCAUCAGCUUUUGAGCUCCUGGGGAUGAUCCUGUAUUGCUCUUAAGGAAGCUAAAGUCUAUCAUUUGACAAAAAGUAAUUCUUUCUCCUCCCACCUCUCCUCUGGGGCAGAGGUUUUGGUUCUCACUGUUAGAGAAAUAUGCCCUAUCCAAAUCUGCCCAGUUCAACAGGCCUGCCCAGGCAGGAGCCCCUUUGUGUUCCAACUCACACAACAGGGAGUAGGGGCUGGCCUGAGCAUUGACAGCAGAAAUUAUGUUCCCGUGGCCUUCAAAAGUCUCAUUAAUAAAAGCCUGACCCA